AACCUACCCUCGGGAUGGGGAUAACCCCGGGAAACUGGGACUAACACCCAAUAAACGAUGGCGCCUGGAAUGGUCUAUCGUCAAAAGACUCUGGAAGCAUGCUUCCAGCGUCGCCCGAGGAUGGGACUGCGUCCGAUCAGGUUGUUGGCGGGGUAACGGCCCACCAAGCCUAUAACCGGUACGGGCCCUGAGAGGGGGAGCCCGGAGAUGGAAACUGAGACAAAGUUCCAGGCCCUACGGGGCGCAGCAGGCGCGAAAACUCCACAAUGCGCGAAAGCGUGAUGGGGUCAUCCCGAGUGCCGUCCGAUGAGGAUGGCUUUUCCUUGGCGUAAGGACCCGAGGGAAUAAAGGGGGGGCAAGACUGGUGUCAGCCGCCGCGGUAAUACCAGCCCCCUGAGUAGUAAGGACGAUUAUUUGGCCUAAAGCGUCCGUAGCCGGCUUAGUAAGUCUCUCGUCAAAUCCAAUGAUUCAAUCAUUGAGUCGCAAGAGAUACUGCUAGGCUUGAGGACGGGAGAGGUCGACGGUAGUCCAGGGGUAGGGGUGAAAUCCUAUAAUCCCUGGAGGACCA
This 568-nucleotide ribosomal RNA is filed under the name uncultured archaeon. RNAcentral describes it as "bacterial SSU rRNA". It matches the Rfam family "Archaeal small subunit ribosomal RNA", at positions 106 to 659 of the family's 1478-position model. The record is from RNAcentral.